RNAcentral lists this non-coding RNA (24 nucleotides) under Arabidopsis thaliana (thale cress). The record is from RNAcentral. Lineage: Eukaryota; Viridiplantae; Streptophyta; Magnoliopsida; Brassicales; Brassicaceae.
AGCGCCGUCUCUUUGCACCUUAAC